RNAcentral lists this ribosomal RNA (404 nucleotides) under uncultured Clostridium sp. Its description in RNAcentral is "bacterial SSU rRNA". It matches the Rfam family "Bacterial small subunit ribosomal RNA", at positions 355 to 776 of the family's 1533-position model. The record is from RNAcentral. Lineage: Bacteria; Bacillati; Bacillota; Clostridia; Eubacteriales; Clostridiaceae.
UGGGGAAUAUUGCACAAUGGGGGAAACCCUGAUGCAGCGACGCCGCGUGAAGGAUGAAGUAUUUCGGUAUGUAAACUUCUAUCAGCAGGGAAGAAAGUGACGGUACCUGACUAAGAAGCCCCGGCUAACUACGUGCCAGCAGCCGCGGUAAUACGUAGGGGGCAAGCGUUAUCCGGAUUUACUGGGUGUAAAGGGAGCGUAGACGGGAUAGCAAGUCUGAAGUGAAAGCCCGGGGCUCAACCCCGGGACUGCUUUGGAAACUGUUGACCUGGAGUGCUGGAGAGGCAAGUGGAAUUCCUAGUGUAGCGGUGAAAUGCGUAGAUAUUAGGAGGAACACCAGUGGCGAAGGCGGCUUGCUGGACAGUGACUGACGUUGAGGCUCGAAAGCGUGGGGAGCAAACAGG